RNAcentral lists this transfer RNA (85 nucleotides) under Ignavibacteria bacterium. RNAcentral describes it as "tRNA-Leu". It matches the Rfam family "tRNA". Rfam says of the family: Transfer RNA (tRNA) molecules are approximately 80 nucleotides in length. Their secondary structure includes four short double-helical elements and three loops (D, anti-codon, and T loops). Further hydrogen bonds mediate the characteristic L-shaped molecular structure. tRNAs have two regions of fundamental functional importance: the anti-codon, which is responsible for specific mRNA codon recognition, and the 3' end, to which the tRNAs corresponding amino acid is attached (by aminoacyl-tRNA synthetases). tRNAs cope with the degeneracy of the genetic code in two manners: having more than one tRNA (with a specific anti-codon) for a particular amino acid; and 'wobble' base-pairing, i.e. permitting non-standard base-pairing at the 3rd anti-codon position. The record is from RNAcentral. Lineage: Bacteria; Pseudomonadati; Ignavibacteriota; Ignavibacteria.
GCCGAAAUGGCGGAACUGGUAGACGCACUGGACUCAAAAUCCAGCGGGACUUAAAUCCCGUAAGGGUUCGACUCCUUUUUCGGCA